Pangasianodon gigas (Mekong giant catfish) is the source of this 76-nucleotide non-coding RNA. NCBI's taxonomy places the organism in Eukaryota, Metazoa, Chordata, Actinopteri, Siluriformes, Pangasiidae. The record is from the annotation of a GenBank genome assembly.
GGCGUGAUAGUGGUUCAGUGGUUAGCAUGCUUGCCUCGUACCUGCAGGGUUGUGGGCUCGAGUCCCGCCCCUGCCC